GCCGGUGUAGCUCAAUUGGCAGAGCAGCUGAUUUGUAAUCAGCCGGUUGCUGGUUCAAUUCCGGUCACCGGCUCCA
RNAcentral lists this transfer RNA (76 nucleotides) under Bacillota bacterium. Its description in RNAcentral is "Firmicutes bacterium (gut metagenome) tRNA-Thr". It matches the Rfam family "tRNA". Rfam says of the family: Transfer RNA (tRNA) molecules are approximately 80 nucleotides in length. Their secondary structure includes four short double-helical elements and three loops (D, anti-codon, and T loops). The record is from RNAcentral. Lineage: Bacteria; Bacillati; Bacillota. RNAcentral also lists the same sequence under 3 other names.